UACGAGGGGGGCGAGCGUUGUUCGGAAUUAUUGGGCGUAAAGCGCCUGUAGGUGGCUUUUUAAGUCCGCCGUCAUAUCCCAGGGCUCAACCUUGGAACUGCCUUUGAAACUCCUGGUCUUGAGGUCGAGAGAGGUGAGUGGAAUUCCGAGUGUAGAGGUGAAAUUCGUAGAUAUUCGGAGGAACACCAGUGGCGAAGGCGGCUCACUGGCUCGAUACUGACGCUGAGGUGCGAAAGCGUGGGGAGCAAACAGG
Molecule: ribosomal RNA, 253 nt
Filed under: uncultured bacterium
Lineage: Bacteria
Description: partial 16S ribosomal RNA
Rfam family: Bacterial small subunit ribosomal RNA
Source: RNAcentral